This 78-nucleotide small nucleolar RNA is filed under the name Rattus norvegicus (Norway rat). RNAcentral describes it as "Small nucleolar RNA SNORD115 (ENSRNOG00000090306.1)". It matches the Rfam family "Small nucleolar RNA SNORD115". Rfam says of the family: HBII-52 is a member of the C/D class of snoRNAs, which contain the C (UGAUGA) and D (CUGA) box motifs. HBII-52 is encoded in a tandemly repeated array with another C/D snoRNA, HBII-85, in the Prader-Willi syndrome (PWS) region of chromosome 15. Lineage: Eukaryota; Metazoa; Chordata; Mammalia; Rodentia; Muridae. The record is from Rfam by way of RNAcentral.
GGGUCAAUGAUGACAACAGAAAGUCAAUUACAGAAUGAUGACAUAAAUAUCAUGCUCAAUAGGAUUCUGCUGAGGCCC